This 426-nucleotide ribosomal RNA is filed under the name uncultured Oscillospiraceae bacterium. RNAcentral describes it as "bacterial SSU rRNA". It matches the Rfam family "Bacterial small subunit ribosomal RNA", at positions 355 to 794 of the family's 1533-position model. Lineage: Bacteria; Bacillati; Bacillota; Clostridia; Eubacteriales; Oscillospiraceae. The record is from RNAcentral.
UGGGGAAUAUUGGGGCAAUGGGCGAAAGCCUGACCCAGCAACGCCGCGUGAAGGAAGAAGGUUUUCGGAUUGUAAACUUCUUUUACCAGGGACGAAGGACGUGACGGUACCUGGAGAAAAAGCAACGGCUAACUACGUGCCAGCAGCCGCGGUAAUACGUAGGUUGCAAGCGUUGUCCGGAUUUACUGGGUGUAAAGGGCGUGUAGGCGGAGGAGCAAGUCAGAUGUGAAAUCCCGGGGCUUAACCCCGGAACUGCAUUUGAAACUGUUUCCCUUGAGUAUCGGAGAGGCAAGCGGAAUUCCUAGUGUAGCGGUGAAAUGCGUAGAUAUUAGGAGGAACACCAGUGGCGAAGGCGGCUUGCUGGACGACAACUGACGCUGAGGCGCGAAAGCGUGGGGAGCAAACAGGAUUAGAUACCCUGGUAGU